GCCUGCCUGUAGUCCCAGCUACUCAGGAGGCUAAGGUGAGAGGAUCGCUUGAGCCCAGGAGUUAUGGGGCUGUAGUGUGCUAUGUCCAUUGGGUGUCUGCACUAAGUUCAGCAUCAAUAUGGUGACCUCCCAGGAGUGAGGGACUACCAGGUUGCCUAAAGAGGGGUAAAAGGGCCCAGGUCGGAAAUGGAGCAGGUCAAAACUCCUGUGCUGAUCAGUAGUGGGAUCACGCCUGUGAAUAGCCACUGCACUCCAGCCUGGGCAACAUAGCAAGACCCUGUCUCUU
Molecule: unclassified non-coding RNA, 286 nt
Organism: Callithrix jacchus (white-tufted-ear marmoset)
Lineage: Eukaryota; Metazoa; Chordata; Mammalia; Primates; Cebidae
Rfam family: Metazoan signal recognition particle RNA
About the family: The signal recognition particle (SRP) is a universally conserved ribonucleoprotein. It is involved in the co-translational targeting of proteins to membranes. The eukaryotic SRP consists of a 300-nucleotide 7S RNA and six proteins: SRPs 72, 68, 54, 19, 14, and 9.
Source: Ensembl